Molecule: ribosomal RNA, 486 nt
Filed under: uncultured bacterium
Lineage: Bacteria
Description: partial 16S ribosomal RNA
Rfam family: Bacterial small subunit ribosomal RNA
Source: RNAcentral
AUUGAACGCUGGCGGCAUGCUUUACACAUGCAAGUCGAGCGGCAGCGCGGGGGCAACCCUGGCGGCGAGCGGCGAACGGGUGAGUAAUGCAUCGGAACGUAUCCUCGAGUGGGGGAUAACCCAGCGAAAGUUGGGCUAAUACCGCAUGAGCUCUGAGGAGGAAAGCGGGGGACCUGCGAGGGCCUCGCGCUGGAGGAGCGGCCGAUGUCCGAUUAGCUCGUUGGUGGGGUAAAGGCUUACCAAGGCGACGAUCGGUAGCUGGUCUGAGAGGAUGAUCAGCCACACUGGGACUGAGACACGGCCCAGACUCCUACGGGAGGCAGCAGUGGGGAAUUUUGGACAAUGGGGGCAACCCUGAUCCAGCCAUGCCGCGUGAGUGACGAAGGCCUUCGGGUUGUAAAGCUCUUUCGGACGGAACGAAAUGGGCGGGACUAAUACUCCUGUCUGAUGACGGUACCGUAAGAAGAAGCACCGGCUAACUACGUG